AGGCGNUGCUAUACUGCAAGUCGAGCGGACAGAUGGGAGCUUGCUCCCUGAUGUUAGCGGCGGACGGGUGAGUAACACGUGGGUAACCUGCCUGUAAGACUGGGAUAACUCCGGGAAACCGGGGCUAAUACCGGAUGGUUGUUUGAACCGCAUGGUUCAGACAUAAAAGGUGGCUUCGGCUACCACUUACAGAUGGACCCGCGGCGCAUUAGCUAGUUGGUGAGGUAACGGCUCACCAAGGCGACGAUGCGUAGCCGACCUGAGAGGGUGAUCGGCCACACUGGGACUGAGACACGGCCCAGACUCCUACGGGAGGCAGCAGUAGGGAAUCUUCCGCAAUGGACGAAAGUCUGACGGAGCAACGCCGCGUGAGUGAUGAAGGUUUUCGGAUCGUAAAGCUCUGUUGUUAGGGAAGAACAAGUGCCGUUCAAAUAGGGCGGCACCUUGACGGUACCUAACCAGAAAGCCACGGCUAACUACGUGCCAGCAGCCGCGGUAAUACGUAGGUGGCAAGCGUUGUCCGGAAUUAUUGGGCGUAAAGGGCUCGCAGGCGGUUUCUUAAGUCUGAUGUGAAAGCCCCCGGCUCAACCGGGGAGGGUCAUUGGAAACUGGGGAACUUGAGUGCAGAAGAGGAGAGUGGAAUUCCACGUGUAGCGGUGAAAUGCGUAGAGAUGUGGAGGAACACCAGUGGCGAAGGCGACUCUCUGGUCUGUAACUGACGCUGAGGAGCGAAAGCGUGGGGAGCGAACAGGAUUAGAUACCCUGGUAGUCCACGCCGUAAACGAUGAGUGCUAAGUGUUAGGGGGUUUCCGCCCCUUAGUGCUGCAGCUAACGCAUUAAGCACUCCGCCUGGGGAGUACGGUCGCAAGACUGAAACUCAAAGGAAUUGACGGGGGCCCGCACAAGCGGUGGAGCAUGUGGUUUAAUUCGAAGCAACGCGAAGAACCUUACCAGGUCUUGACAUCCUCUGACAAUCCUAGAGAUAGGACGUCCCCUUCGGGGGCAGAGUGACAGGUGGUGCAUGGUUGUCGUCAGCUCGUGUCGUGAGAUGUUGGGUUAAGUCCCGCACCAGCGCAACCCUUGGAUCUUAGUUGCCAGCAUUCAGUUGGGCACUCUAAGGUGACUGCCGGUGACAACCGGGAGGAAGGUGGGGAUGACGUCAAAUCAUCAUGCCCCUUAUGACCUGGGCUAC
This 1192-nucleotide ribosomal RNA is filed under the name Bacillus amyloliquefaciens. RNAcentral's name for it is "bacterial SSU rRNA". It matches the Rfam family "Bacterial small subunit ribosomal RNA", at positions 40 to 1217 of the family's 1533-position model. Lineage: Bacteria; Bacillati; Bacillota; Bacilli; Caryophanales; Bacillaceae. The record is from RNAcentral.